RNAcentral lists this ribosomal RNA (1372 nucleotides) under uncultured bacterium. RNAcentral describes it as "bacterial SSU rRNA". It matches the Rfam family "Bacterial small subunit ribosomal RNA", at positions 28 to 1381 of the family's 1533-position model. The record is from RNAcentral.
GAUGAACGCUGGCGGCGUGCCUAAUACAUGCAAGUCGAGCGAACGGACGAGAAGCUUGCUUUUCUGAUGUUAGCGGCGGACGGGUGAGUAACACGUGGAUAACCUACCUAUAAGACUGGGAUAACUUCGGGAAACCGGAGCUAAUACCGGAUAAUAUUUUGAACCGCAUGGUUCAAAAGUGAAAGACGGUCUUGCUGUCACUUAUAGAUGGAUCCGCGCUGCAUUAGCUAGUUGGUAAGGUAACGGCUUACCAAGGCAACGAUGCAUAGCCGACCUGAGAGGGUGAUCGGCCACACUGGAACUGAGACACGGUCCAGACUCCUACGGGAGGCAGCAGUAGGGAAUCUUCCGCAAUGGGCGAAAGCCUGACGGAGCAACGCCGCGUGAGUGGUGAAGGUCUUCGGAUCGUAAAACUCUGUUAUUAGGGAAGAACAUAUGUGUAAGUAACUGUGCACAUCUUGACGGUACCUAAUCAGAAAGCCACGGCUAACUACGUGCCAGCAGCCGCGGUAAUACGUAGGUGGCAAGCGUUAUCCGGAAUUAUUGGGCGUAAAGCGCGCGUAGGCGGUUUUUUAAGUCUGAUGUGAAAGCCCACGGCUCAACCGUGGAGGGUCAUUGGAAACUGGAAAACUUGAGUGCAGAAGAGGAAAGUGGAAUUCCAUGUGUAGCGGUGAAAUGCGCAGAGAUAUGGAGGAACACCAGUGGCGAAGGCGACUUUCUGGUCUGUAACUGACGCUGACGUGCGAAAGCGUGGGGAUCAAACAGGAUUAGAUACCCUGGUAGUCCACGCCGUAAACGAUGAGUGCUAAGUGUUAGGGGGUUUCCGCCCCUUAGUGCUGCAGCUAACGCAUUAAGCACUCCGCCUGGGGAGUACGACCGCAAGGUUGAAACUCAAAGGAAUUGACGGGGACCCGCACAAGCGGUGGAGCAUGUGGUUUAAUUCGAAGCAACGCGAAGAACCUUACCAAAUCUUGACAUCCUUUGACAACUCUAGAGAUAGAGCCUUCCCCUUCGGGGGACAAAGUGACAGGUGGUGCAUGGUUGUCGUCAGCUCGUGUCGUGAGAUGUUGGGUUAAGUCCCGCAACGAGCGCAACCCUUAAGCUUAGUUGCCAUCAUUAAGUUGGGCACUCUAAGUUGACUGCCGGUGACAAACCGGAGGAAGGUGGGGAUGACGUCAAAUCAUCAUGCCCCUUAUGAUUUGGGCUACACACGUGCUACAAUGGACAAUACAAAGGGCAGCGAAACCGCGAGGUCAAGCAAAUCCCAUAAAGUUGUUCUCAGUUCGGAUUGUAGUCUGCAACUCGACUACAUGAAGCUGGAAUCGCUAGUAAUCGUAGAUCAGCAUGCUACGGUGAAUACGUUCCCGGGUCU